RNAcentral lists this ribosomal RNA (253 nucleotides) under uncultured bacterium. Its description in RNAcentral is "partial 16S ribosomal RNA". It matches the Rfam family "Bacterial small subunit ribosomal RNA", at positions 524 to 776 of the family's 1533-position model. The record is from RNAcentral.
UACGUAGGUGGCAAGCGUUAUCCGGAAUUAUUGGGCGUAAGGCGCGCGCAGGCGGUUUCUUAAGUCUGAUGUGAAAGCCCACGGCUCAACCGUGGAGGGUCAUUGGAAACUGGGAAACUUGAGUGCAGAAGAGGAAAGUGGAAUUCCACGUGUAGCGGUGAAAUGCGUAGAGAUGUGGAGGAACACCAGUGGCGAAGGCGACUUUCUGGUCUGUAACUGACGCUGAGGCGCGAAAGCGUGGGGAGCAAACAGG